CCUUGAAAUACCACCCUUUAAUGUUUGAUGUUCUAACGUUGACCCGUGAUCCGGGUUGCGGACAGUGUCUGGUGGGUAGUUUGACUGGGGCGGUCUCCUCCUAAAGAGUAACGGAGGAGCACGAAGGUUGGCUAAUCCUGGUCGGACAUCAGGAGGUUAGUGCAAUGGCAUAAGCCAGCUUGACUGCGAGUGUGACGGCGCGAGCAGGUGCGAAAGCAGGUCAUAGUGAUCCGGUGGUUCUGAAUGGAAGGGCCAUCGCUCAACGGAUAAAAGGUACUCCGGGGAUAACAGGCUGAUACCGCCCAAGAGUUCAUAUCGACGGCGGUGUUUGGCACCUCGAUGUCGGCUCAUCACAUCCUGGGGCUGAAGUAGGUCCCAAGGGUAUGGCUGUUCGCCAUUUAAAGUGGUACGCGAGCUGGGUUUAGAACGUCGUGAGACAGUUCGGUCCCUAUCUGCCGUGGGCGCUGGAGAAUUGAGGGGGGCUGCUCCUAGUACGAGAGGACCGGAGUGGACGCAUCACUGGUGUUCGGGUUGUCAUGCCAAUGGCACUGCCCGGUAGCUAAAUGCGGAAGAGAUAAGUGCUGAAAGCAUCUAAGCACGAAACUUGCCCCGAGAUGAGUUCUCCCUGACUCCUUGAGAGUCCUGAAGGAACGUUGAAGACGACGACGUUGAUAGGCCGGGUGUGUAAGCGCAGCGAUGCGUUGAGCUAACCGGUACUAAUGAACCGUGAGGCUUAACCUUACAACGCCGAAG
RNAcentral lists this ribosomal RNA (753 nucleotides) under Escherichia coli. RNAcentral describes it as "partial 23S ribosomal RNA". It matches the Rfam family "Bacterial large subunit ribosomal RNA", at positions 2190 to 2925 of the family's 2925-position model. The record is from RNAcentral. Lineage: Bacteria; Pseudomonadati; Pseudomonadota; Gammaproteobacteria; Enterobacterales; Enterobacteriaceae.